UGAGGUAGCUCAGUUGGUUAGAGCAACAGACUCAUAAUCUGGAGGUCCCUGGUUCAAGCCCAGGCUGGUCCA
This 72-nucleotide transfer RNA is filed under the name Bacteroides sp. CAG:598. RNAcentral describes it as "transfer RNA-Pseudo(CAT)". The stretch from base 5 to 65 matches the Rfam family "tRNA", at positions 7 to 64 of the family's 71-position model. Rfam says of the family: Transfer RNA (tRNA) molecules are approximately 80 nucleotides in length. Their secondary structure includes four short double-helical elements and three loops (D, anti-codon, and T loops). Lineage: Bacteria; Pseudomonadati; Bacteroidota; Bacteroidia; Bacteroidales; Bacteroidaceae. The record is from RNAcentral.